Molecule: ribosomal RNA, 491 nt
Filed under: uncultured bacterium
Lineage: Bacteria
Description: partial 16S ribosomal RNA
Rfam family: Bacterial small subunit ribosomal RNA
Source: RNAcentral
GAUGAACGCUAGCUACAGGCUUAACACAUGCAAGUCGAGGGGAAACGACAUCGAAAGCUUGCUUUUGAUGGGCGUCGACCGGCGCACGGGUGAGUAACGCGUAUCCAACCUGCCCAUCACUUGGGAAUAACCUUGCGAAAGUAAGACUAAUACCCAAUGACAUCCCACGAAGACAUCUGAAUGGGAUUAAAGAUUUAUCGGUGAUGGAUGGGGAUGCGUCUGAUUAGCUUGUUGGCGGGGUAACGGCCCACCAAGGCAACGAUCAGUAGGGGUUCUGAGAGGAAGGUCCCCCACAUUGGAACUGAGACACGGUCCAAACUCCUACGGGAGGCAGCAGUGAGGAAUAGUGGUCAAUGGGCGAGAGCCUGAACCAGCCAAGUAGCGUGCAGGAUGACGGCCCUAUGGGUUGUAAACUGCUUUUAUAAGGGAAUAAAGUGGGUCUCGUGAGACUUUUUGCAUGUACCGUAGGAAUAAGGACCGGCUAAUUCCGU